Long non-coding RNA from Balaenoptera acutorostrata (minke whale), 422 nucleotides. RefSeq lists it as uncharacterized. NCBI's taxonomy places the organism in Eukaryota, Metazoa, Chordata, Mammalia, Artiodactyla, Balaenopteridae. The transcript is spliced from 3 exons. The record is from RefSeq and is a predicted model, not a curated record.
UGGGCCGUUUUCUGGGGCCUGUCGCCGACCGCCGCUUGCCGCCCACCGGCACCGUGGGCGCGGAGACCGCGGCUUCUCUGCUUGGUGCCUACGCUGCCCGGGUUUCCGCUUUCUAGAGCUCUCGGCUAGCGCAACAAAUGAACAGCUCCUUCCCCAUACGUUCGCUUCUCAUUACCUUAAAAUUCCUCUUAAGAGUGGAGAGACCACUCUCAGAGUGUUCAGACUUUCUGCUGCCAUCAAAUCAGAGGAAGCAAGCUGCAGAGCCCUGGGCUCACCCAUAGGAGGGACCCCCAAACUGACCAAGGCUGAACCUCUCUCCAGCUGUGGCAAGUGGAGAUGCACAAACGGAAAAAUAAAGAAAUGAAGUACUUCCCAUACCAGCACUGUAGAAGAAUUCACAUGGUCCAAGUCAGGGUAAUUGU